This is an RNA transcript of Hibiscus syriacus, 2802 nucleotides long. It is a transcript of the gene named endoplasmin homolog, with no coding region annotated. The record is from RefSeq and is a predicted model, not a curated record. The transcript has 16 exons. NCBI's taxonomy places the organism in Eukaryota, Viridiplantae, Streptophyta, Magnoliopsida, Malvales, Malvaceae.
AUGAGGAAGUGGGCGGUCCCUUCCGCUUUGAUUCUUCUUUGCCUUCUGAGUCUCCUUUCAGAUCAAGGUAGAAAAGUACAUGCAAAUGCUGAAGGAGCCGUAGAUCCUCCAAAAGUUGAGGAAAAGAUUGGCGCUGUGCCUAACGGUUUACAAACUGAUUCUUAUGUCGUUAAAAGGGAAUCCGAGUCGAUCUCUUCUAGAUCGCUUCGCAAUAAUGCGGAGAAAUUUGAAUUCCAAGCUGAGGUGUCUCGGCUUAUGGACAUUAUUAUCAAUUCUCUUUAUAGCAACAAGGAUAUUUUCCUCCGGGAGUUGAUCUCAAAUGCUUCUGAUGCGUUGGACAAGAUUAGGUUCCUUUCACUCACAGACAAAGAAGUUUUGGGUGAAGGUGACACUUCCAAGCUGGAGAUACAGAUUAAGUUGGACAAAGAGAAGAAAAUACUUUCACUUCGUGACAGAGGUAUAGGAAUGACAAAAGAAGAUUUAAUCAAGAACUUGGGAACAAUUGCAAAAUCUGGAACUUCUGCAUUUGUUGAGAAAAUGCAGGGCAGUGGAGACCUUAAUCUGAUUGGGCAGUUUGGGGUUGGUUUCUACUCUGUCUAUUUGGUAGCUGACUAUGUUGAAGUUGUUAGUAAACACAAUGAAGACAAACAGUAUGUGUGGGAAUCGAAGGCUGAUGGGGCAUUUUCCAUUUCUGAGGAUACUUGGAAUGAACCAUUGGGACGUGGAACUGAGAUUAGAUUGCAUCUUAGGGACGAAGCUCAGGAGUACUUGGAGGAGGGCAAAUUGAAGGAGUUGGUGAAGAGAUAUUCUGAAUUCAUAAACUUCCCCAUCUAUAUCUGGGCAAGCAAAGAGGUUGAUGUUGAGGUACCUGCCGAUGGAGAUUCAAGCGAUGAGGAGGACAACGCUGAAACCAGCUCUUCCGAGGAAGGAGAAGAUGAAGAUGAUGAAAAAAGUGAGGAUGAUGAUGCCGAAAAGAAACCGAAGACAAAGAAGGUGAAGGAAACUACUUAUGAAUGGGAGCUUCUGAAUGAUGUCAAGGCUAUAUGGUUGCGCAGUUCAAAGGAGGUGACAGAUGAAGAAUACACAAAGUUCUAUCAAUCUUUAGCAAAGGACUUCAGUGAUGAGAAGCCCAUGGCCUGGAGUCACUUCACUGCCGAAGGUGAUGUUGAGUUCAAGGCUGUUUUGUUUGUGCCUCCUAAAGCUCCUCAUGAUCUCUAUGACAGUUACUACAACACCAAUAAAGCCAACUUGAAGUUGUAUGUUAGGCGAGUUUUUAUCUCUGAGGAAUUUGAUGAGCUUUUGCCGAAGUAUUUGAGCUUUUUGAAGGGCCUUGUUGAUUCUGAUACACUACCGCUCAAUGUAUCAAGAGAGAUGUUACAAGCCCACAGCAGUUUGAAAACAAUCAAGAAGAAACUCAUUAGGAAAGCCCUUGAUAUGAUUCGUAAAAUUGCUGAGGAGGAUCCUGAUGAGUCCAGUGGCAAAGAUGAUAAAGAAGCAGAAAAAUCUGGUGAUGAUGAUGAGAAAAAGGGCCAAUAUACCAAAUUUUGGAAUGAAUUUGGAAAAUCCAUUAAACUUGGUAUCAUUGAGGAUGCAACCAACAGAAACCGCUUGGCAAAACUCCUACGAUUUGAGAGCACCAAAUCAGAUAGUAAAUUGACUUCACUAGAUCAGUACAUCUCAAGAAUGAAAUCAGGACAGAAAGAUAUCUUCUACAUUACAGGAACCAGCAAGGAGCAGUUGGAAAAAUCUCCAUUCUUGGAGAGGCUUAAGAAGAAAAAUUAUGAGGUUAUUUUCUUCACAGAUCCUGUUGAUGAAUACCUGAUGCAGUACCUGAUGGAUUAUGAAGGAAAGCAGUUCCAAAAUGUAUCCAAGGAAGGCCUAAAAAUGGGGAAAGACUCUAAGAACAAAGAACUCAAGGAGUCAUUUAAGGAACUUACCAAAUGGUGGAAGGGUGCACUUGCAACCAACAAUGUUGAUGAGGUGAAAAUUAGCAACCGUUUGGACAACACUCCUUGUGUGGUUGUCACAUCUAAGUUUGGAUGGAGCGCUAAUAUGGAGAGGAUCAUGCAAUCUCAAACCCUAUCAGAUGCUAGCAAGCAAGCAUACAUGCGUGGCAAGAGGGUCCUUGAGAUCAACCCAAGGCACCCAAUUAUCAAGGAGCUUCGUGAGAGAGUUGUCAAGGACCCAGAGGAUGAGGGUGUCAAGCAAACAGCUCAACUUAUAUACCAGACAGCUUUGAUGGAGAGCGGCUUCAAUCUAGCUGAUCCCAAGGAUUUCGCCUCACGCAUCUACAGCUCAGUUAGGUCUAGCCUAGAUAUCAGUCCCGAUGCAACAGUAGAGGAGGAAGAUGAUGUCGAAGAAACUGAGACAGAAGAUGCAGGCAGUUCGAAGGGAGAAGCUGAAACUGCCAAAGAUGAUUCAAAUACAGAUCCUACUGAUGCGAAGGAUGAAUUGUAGAUAGCGAGGCCUUGGGAUGCCAGUACUGUUGAGUUUUUCCCUUGGUAAUUAUGGAACUUUUGACGAAGAAGAUUCCACAUGUUCACUAUAUAUAUUUACAAUUUCUGACAGAGUCGCUGGCUUUUCAUCGGAGCCGUCCAAAGAAUUAUCAGAAGAAGCACUAGCAAAAGAGAGCUUAAAAGAGGUAGAUUUGAUUCGUUAGAGAUUAGAUUAGAAGACCAUUAUUUGAUGGUUGGUUUAUUUUAAUCAGCCGCCAUUGCUUUAGAUUUUAUCUGUAAUUAAACGGUUGAUUCCGAUUCGUUCAAUUUAUGUCAUUCAGCGGGUUAAUGGAACCAUUUUAAAAUU